This 443-nucleotide long non-coding RNA is filed under the name Fukomys damarensis (Damara mole-rat). RNAcentral's name for it is "lncRNA (ENSFDAG00000031770.1)". The record is from RNAcentral. Lineage: Eukaryota; Metazoa; Chordata; Mammalia; Rodentia; Bathyergidae.
AUGCAGCCCAGGCUGGCCUCGAACUCACAGCGAUUCUCCUACCUCAGCCUCCGGAGUGCUGGGAUUACAGGCGUGCGCCACUACACCCGGCUCUCUGCAAUUGUUACUGAAAGCCAUAUUUUGAAUCUCCUGGUCAUCUUGUCCUGUCUGAUGAGAAGGCACAGGGGUGGCUCAUGUAUCCCAGACCUGGUAUUCUGCUCUGAGGGGGACCUGAGGAUGCUCAGAGAUACAGGCUCUUCUCCAUUGGUAGGUGAGUGUCUAAAGAAAGAAAAGCUGCCCAUACAAAUGGCUGAGCCAGCAGAAAGGAGAGCCCCAAGUGCACUUGGCAUGGGAUGGAUCCAGCAAAGGCAGCAGUGAUGAGAAACCCCUGCUUCUAAAUGGUGUCAGGAUCUACAGAAGCCUGUCACCUAUUAGGGCUGUGUCAGCCAUUGUCAGGGCCCUGC